RNA transcript from Pogoniulus pusillus (Red-fronted tinkerbird), 6667 nucleotides. It is a transcript of the gene named mono-ADP ribosylhydrolase 2, with no coding region annotated. The record is from RefSeq and is a predicted model, not a curated record. Lineage: Eukaryota; Metazoa; Chordata; Aves; Piciformes; Lybiidae. The transcript is spliced from 20 exons.
CGAGGCGUGACCCAGCUGACGGGCGCUGUGCGGAGCCGAGUGGCGGGUGCGGAGCGGGAGCCGGCAGGGAGCAGCACCCAACAGCGGCAGCAAACAGCGGUGCGCGGCGUCGGUAAAGGUCGGCUCUGGCGCGGCGACUCAUCCACCCCCUCGUGAGCCUGGGGAACCUGCAGCUCAAAGCCGCCGCCAGCCACAGUACCAUGUACCCCGGCAACAAGCGGAAAAAGCUCUGGCGGGAGGAGAAAGAGCGUUUGCUGAAGAUGACCUUGGAAGAAAGACGCAAAGAGUACUCAAGGGAUUAUGUUGCAUUGAAAAAUAUUCCGACAUGGAUGGAAGACUUGAAAAGUAAGAAUGAAAGUGAUGGUGAAAAUGCUAAAGAAGAUCUGCAAGGGAAGAAGAGUCUGAGUGACAAAGUUUCUCUCUACAGAGGUGACAUUACGCUGCUGGAGGUUGAUGCCAUCGUUAAUGCUGCUAAUUCCAGCCUUCUUGGAGGUGGAGGAGUGGACGGCUGCAUACACAGAGCUGCUGGGCCUUGCUUAGUUGCUGAAUGUCGCAACCUAAGUGGCUGUGAGACUGGGCAAGCGAAAAUUACCUGUGGAUAUGAGCUACCGGCAAAAUAUGUGAUCCAUACUGUUGGACCGAUUGCAAGAGGCCAUGUCACUGACAUUCAUAGAGAAAACUUGGCAAGUUGCUAUAAAUCCUCUCUGAAACUGGCAAAAGAAAACAACAUCAGAUCAAUUGCAUUUCCCUGUAUUUCGACAGGAAUUUAUGGUUUUCCAAAUGAGCCUGCUGCCGUCAUUGCCCUUAACACUAUUAAGGAAUGGUUAAGCAAGAAUCACAAUGAGGUGGAUCGCAUCAUCUUCUGCGUCUUUUUGGAGGUCGACUACAAGAUUUUCAAGAAGAAAAUGGGCGAGAUUUUCCCCUUAGAUUAUGAUAGUGAAGGAGGGACUGAGCUGGGUGAAGAGAAAGAAGGAUUGGAACCGAAACACCAGCCUCCAUCUCCCACAAAGAGCAAAGCAGAGCAGCCUGAGGACCUGCAAGAUGAUGCUGAAGGUAGUAAUGAAACUGAGGAGAAGCAAAACACCGAAGAACCCAAGGCCCAGAGCCAAGAAGCAGAGGAGACGGAACCCUCUGCUGUAGCCAGCCUGUCGUCGUCAGAAGAAACAGAGCUGAGUGAGGGUAAAGACUCCCUGAAAGACUCCAAGAGUGUGCAGGAGAGUGACCCAGUGCAUCCUGUGGGAUGUGAACAAGAGCAAGCCAAAGGACAGCAGGAUGUUUCUUCAGAGGAAGAGAUGAAAACUGAAAACUCCUGCAUGGAAAGAGAAGAGCCAUUGCUGAUGCAAGAAGACGCAACGGAAGUUGAAAUACCUUUGAUUCAUGGUGCUGAGGAAAAAGAAGAAGAAGAAGAAGGAGCAAAAAAGGAAGGAGGAGGAGGAGGUCUGAAACACGAGCCCAGAGAACUGGAACAGGGGUGCAAGGGAAAGAGGAAAUGUCUGAAGAUCCUAUGGAGGUUGACCUCGCAUGUGAAGCAGCAGAUGUUUCAAAUAAGGAAGCUGAAAUGAAUAGUCAAGUUGAAAGUAUAAAUGAUCCUAAGGAAACAGAGCGGGAAGCUUAAGUAGCAGCAAAGGAAGGAUGCAGGAGAGAAAAGACCCAAGGACCUGAUGAACAGGCACUGACAUCCUACAACAUCAUUCUUGGCAGAAAAGAGCACACAGAUAUGCUCCAUGGGUUGGGAGGGAGGGAGCUUUGGGGAAAUGAGUCUUUGCUUUAAUUUCUUUGUUCUUCAUUGCAUUUUGUUCUGUAAGCCUGUUGGAAAGAAACAUAACUUCCCAGUUCUGACAAUGUUUUGCAAUUAUUCCUGCAAUUACAACAGUUUCUUCUGAACUGUGAGUCCCUGUCAUAUAUUGGGCCUCUUUUCCUUUUGCAUCAUAUCAUCAGUGGCCUGUUUCCAGGCCCACCCCUUUGAUAGCAUCUUUAUCUUCUUUCCCAGUUUUGGUACUGCCUGCAGGCAACCUGUGGGAGACAGUUUAUUCUCCUCCCAACCCCUCCUUUUUUUAUUCACUUCUCUAGGAUUUAAAUAGAGAGUUUCUUCAGGAACAUGAGCUGCCACAAAGGAUUACAAUCCACAUACACUGAUAAACAACCACCCUCCUUGUGCCAGGGAUUUGAAAGACAAGAUGCUCCACAAGCUCAGAAAUACUGAUUGAGACAACCCUGCAUGUUGUCCACCUCCAGGCUUGUUGAUCAGCAGCUCCUGCCAGCACCCACCAGCAGGUCACCAUGUCCAAACCCUGGCUGCUAGAAGUGGUGCUGUCUGGGUUCCCUCAUGUCCAUGCUAGAAGUAGAGUUUGCACGUUAACUCUUAUGAUCACAAAGCUUCAGUGACUGUCCCUUUCACCUUUCUCUCUGGCAUGGCAAAUCACAGAAUCACAGAACAUUAGGAGAUGGAAGUGACCUCAGAAGAUCAUCCAGUCCCAACCCUUGCCAGGGUCGGGCCACCUAGCGUAGGCCACUGUCUGUGUGUCCAGACAGGUUUUGACUGCCUCCAGAGAAGGAGACUCUACAGCCUCUCUGGGCAGCCCAUUCCAAUGUUCUCUCACUCUCACAGUGAAAAAGCUUUUCCUUAUGUUCACGUGGAACCUCUUAUGCUCCAGCUUGCACCCAUUGCCCAUUGUGGUAUCAUUGGACAUCGCUUAGAAGAGCCUGACAAUCACCCUCCACAUCUUUAUAAACAUUAAUGAAGUCAGUUCUCAGUCUUCUCCUCUAAGCUAAAGAGACACAGCUCCCUCAGCUUUUCUUCACAAGGGACAGCUAAACUGUGCCAUUCCUACAUUGUGCCAGGUCCCUCUUUGGGCCCUACACAUAGAUAACAUAUGUGACUUCACACAGCCACCAUCCCGAGGCAGCCCUGCUCCUUCCUACUUAGCUCCAUGCACCACAAAAUCAGUGCUGUAAGUGUGGCCUUCGGCUGCAGGUAGGCAAGUUACCUCCUCCAGCCUGCAAGUGGCAGUGGAUAGCAGGCACUCUGCAUUCAAGGCAUCUUUAAAUACAGCUCCUAGCUUUAACAACUUCACAUCGUAUCUAGUGUGAGCCCUCAUUAUAUUUUUCACUGCAUAUGCAUGAUCUCUCUCUUUUUUAAAGUAUAUAUAUAUAAAAAAGGGCAAUUAGCAGUUUUUUGGGUAAGAUUGUCUCACCAUAUGUCAAUUGUUCUGCCAGCAAAUGCUCUGCUGAAGUUCUUAGGAAAGGGACAAGAGGGUUUUACAUCCAUUUCCCAACCAUGCUGUAACCCAAACCGAUAGACAAUACACUUGAUGGAAGAGCAGGCAGCCCAGGGCCAGGGUGGCAUGUGCCACAAACUGUAUUUUUAGAUGCUGCUGGUAAUAAGUUGAUCAUUUUGAGCAACAUAAUUGUUUAUUUAAUUUUUAAAUUCCUUACAAAUGUGCUUGAAUCCCAAAGUAGUUAUUUACUAGCUAGCAUUUAAAAAAAAAAAACAGAAGAGUAGCUCCUGCAAUCUGGGUUUAUCCCUGCUAGGGCAGGUUUGGCAGUAAAUCAUCUGCCUGUGCAACAGCGAUUCAGAUGUGGCCCUAAGACAUCUGCCUGUGGCAGUUGCUGGCUGCUGUCAGCUGCAGGUCAGUUUGAAAGGGUGUGGGGACAAGCAACAGAGAGAAAAGAAAACAUGAAAAGGCCCAGGUUUCACUUGGAGAUUUUGGCCCCUAGAAAUUCAGCCCCUUGUCUUCCUGUGUGUGACCUCAGCAUGUUUGCUUGUGCUGGGAUCAGAAGAGUCUUUCAGUGUGCUGACUCCUAACUCUGUUAACCCAGGCGACACUGGCGCUAGAGAAGAUCUUUGAGUUUCUCUGUCACCCAUUUGUCCCAGAGAUAGGUGGAUGCGUAACUGAAUUGGACCAGCCACAGAAGGAGCAAAUGAACUGACAAGCCCAAGAAUCUGGUUUAUAAUAUUGCUAUGUUUACCUAAAUUUGCUAGAUAGUACUGCUUGUUCUCUUCUGAGAACUCUUGACUCAUAGAUUCAUAGAAUGGUUUGAGUUGGAAGGGACCUUAAAGAUCAUAUAGUUCAUACCCCACUGCCAUGGGCAGGGACACCUUCCACUAGAACAAGCUGCUUGUGGUCCUGUCCAUCCUGGCAUUGAACACCUCCAGGGAGGGAGAAUUCACAACCUUCCUGGGCAACCUGUUUAGUAUCUCACCACCCUCACUGUCAAGAAUAUCUUCCUAAUAUCCAAUCUAAAUCCACCCUCUUAUAGCUUAAAUCUAUUCCCCCUCACCCUGUCACAACAAGCCUUGUAAAACGUCCCUCCCUGGCUUUCUGUAGACCCCAUCAGGUGCUGGAAGGUCACUAGAAGAUCUCUCCAGAGCUUUCUUUUCCCCAGGCUGAACAGCUCCAACUUUUUAUGCUGAAGGUGCCAGAACUGGAUACAGUACUCCAGGUGGAGUCUCACCAGAGCAGAAUGGGAGAAUUACCCUUGCCCUGCUGGUCACAGUUCUUUUGGUGCAGCCCAGCACACUGUUGCCUUCUGGGCUGCAAGCGCACAUUGCUGGCUCGUGGUGAGUUUUUCAUCAACAGACAUCCCCAAGUCCUUCUCCUUGAGACCACUUUCAAGCCACUCCUUUUCCAGCCUACAUUUGUGCUUGGGAUUGCCCUGAAGAGGCUCCUCAUUUCCUUUGAGAUGUCUCUGGUGCUAUUCUCUCCUAUUCCUGGGGCCAUGCGUGGCAGAAUGUGUCAUUUGGGACAUGGGACUUUUUUGCUGUGCUGUUCCUUCCCCUCAUUUCCAGCUGAUUGCAGUUUUGCAGUGGGAGGCCUCACAGGUACAUGGUGUGCAUUCUGGAUACUGUAUGUUUUAGCAUGCCCAAUAUGAUUUUGGUUGAAGCAGGCUGUCAUAAUAGGUGGAGCAGGAACUGGUAAAAUACCAAGGAAGGAAGGAAGGAAGGAAGGAAGGAAGGAAGGAAGGAAGGAAGGAAGGAAGGAAGGAAGGAAGGAAGGAAGGAAGGAAGGAAGGAAGGAGAAUAAACACACUGGGUGUCUCCCAUUUCAAUUCCUCUUUUUGUGAUCCUGUGAAUGACCAGGAGUGAAGGGCACCCUCCAUCUUGGUAAGUGAGAGAAUUGUCCCUAUAGGGUUUAGAACAAAUCAAGUGAGCUUGACUUAAAGCUGUGCAAAAUGUUGAAGACAUCCAAGGUGAGCAGAUCCUCAUCUAGGGUGAACUGGGCUCCACAGAGCUGUGGUAACUUCAGUCAGCAGGAUAUCCAGGCCCCUGAACUGUAGGCUGCCAUUACCUGCCAAUCAGGUGUCCUUCUUGCCAUUGCCAGCCUCGAUUCUAGCAAGGGAGGCAAAAGGAGAGCCCCACAGCAGGCUGGCUGGCUGCCAAAGUGUGGUGGCUCAGUAAGGAGACAGACACCUUGAACUACUUGUGAAGGCUGAUCAUUAAAAAAACCCAACUAACUGUAAAGAUGUGUCACAUUAGACACUUUCUAACUCCUGACUGUAGUUUGGUUUCAGUUUUCAUUUACCCUUGUUUCUUGACCAGCAGUGAGUGUUUGAAAUCAGGAGCUGUUUGCACAAGGAUGCAGUGGAGAAGCGUGAAGCCCAGGUAGGACAUGUAAAGCAAGGAGAUGUAGGAGCCGAGUAAGUCCUUACAGACCAAUUUACAGCUGCAUCUGCAUCUGUCUGUCUUCAGGUGGGUUUUGGUUUAAACUGUUAGAGAUUUUCACUGGAGUGUAGUUUGGCAGUGUGAGUUCUUCAGCUGAGCCAGUAGUUCAGGCUGGUCCCAUGGCCCCUGACACAGUCUCCAGUGCUGCAGCAGGAGCUGCUUUGGUAGAAGAGCAACCAUCAGACUGAGCAUCACCCUGCUGGGGUUUACAUCAAGGAUUUUGGUUUGAAGGCAACACGUGUAUACAGUAGGUGGUGUAAAGGGAAUAGCAGCCCUUUGGUGCUGAUCUUUGCAUCCAAAGUGUCAGGAUCUGCUUGAUUGUUCGUUUUCCUGUGUCUGAAAGCACUGCUCCCUACCAUGAGGCAUGGUAUUCCUCAGGCUGGUUACUGCUCUGGUGACGGAUGGGUUUCCUUCCAUACAGACCACCAAAGGGGAUGUUUGAGAUGGUUUGUAAUGAUGGGUCACACGUUCACUGCAGCUGAAGCACUGAGAAAGCCUUUCCAUGAGUUAGCACUGUUCUGCUUUAUGUACUUGAAUGAAAACAUAACAUUAAAAGGAGAAGGUGUUUAUCUAUACACAAUGCAUGCUGGCUUUGCUUUUGAAAAGAUGAACUCAACAGAGUGUGUGGCUCUAUCUUCAUGGGAAAUAGGAGUUUUUAUCGUAUGAUUCACCCAGGAUUUGCCUUACCCUGACAUUUGUGAUACAAAGGAAAACUUGAAAAAAAUUAUAUAUAUAUAUAAAGCAAUUUUAAAAGGUAAUUUUCUCAAUCCUAAAACACAUUUUUACUUCAAUACAGGGAAAUGUAGACUUGUUGCUUGCAAAAUGUCUUCUUCUAGAUGGCCUAGCAGCUAUAUGGGUUAAGCCAUGACACUUGCGUUGCUCUGUCAUUUACCUCCAAGUUAUUUUUCCUUCUGUCUGUGCCACGUGUUGGAAAACUUAAAGAACCAAUGCCUUUGUACUCCCAUGUUUGUUACAAUGAAACGUUAAUAAAGCUUGUCCUGAAGA